AACUUUUAGCAACGGAUCUCUCGGCUCUAGCAUCGAUGAAGAACGCAGCGAAAUGCGAUAAGUAAUGUGAAUUGCAGAAUUUAGUGAAUCAUCGAAUCUUUGAACGCACAUUGCGCCCCCUGGCAUUCCGGGGGGCAUGCCUGUCCGAGCGUCAUUAUCCCCCUCAAGCCUCGCUUGGUCUUGGGCCACGCCGCCUGGCGGACCCUAAAUCUAGUGGCGAUCCCCGCCGGCCCUCAGUGUAGUAGCAACCAUCGCUGUCGGCGUCGCGCGGGAGAUCUGCCAGGAACCCCCAACAUUUCUAGGUUGACCUCGGAUCAGGUAGGACUACCCGCUGAACUUAAGCAUAUCAAUAAGCGGAGGCU
This 362-nucleotide unclassified non-coding RNA is filed under the name uncultured Ascomycota. RNAcentral's name for it is "sequence contains ITS2". The stretch from base 1 to 154 matches the Rfam family "5.8S ribosomal RNA". Lineage: Eukaryota; Fungi; Ascomycota. The record is from RNAcentral.